CAGUCGCCGCGGGAAUACAGAGGGUGCGAGCGUUAAUCGGAUUUACUGGGCGUAAAGCGUGCGUAGGCGGCUUUUUAAGUCGGAUGUGAAAUCCCUGAGCUUAACUUAGGAAUUGCAUUCGAUACUGGGAAGCUAGAGUAUGGGAGAGGAUGGUAGAAUUCCAGGUGUAGCGGUGAAAUGCGUAGAGAUCUGGAGGAAUACCGAUGGCGAAGGUAGCCAUCUGGCCUAAUACUGACGCUGAGGUACGAAAGCAUGGGGAGCAAACAGGAUUAGAUACCCCGGUAGUCCCUGUCUCUUAUAC
This 301-nucleotide ribosomal RNA is filed under the name uncultured bacterium. RNAcentral's name for it is "partial 16S ribosomal RNA". It matches the Rfam family "Bacterial small subunit ribosomal RNA", at positions 509 to 807 of the family's 1533-position model. The record is from RNAcentral.